Molecule: ribosomal RNA, 497 nt
Filed under: uncultured bacterium
Lineage: Bacteria
Description: partial 16S ribosomal RNA
Rfam family: Bacterial small subunit ribosomal RNA
Source: RNAcentral
GAUGAACGCUGGCGGCGUGCCUAAUACAUGCAAGUCGAGCGAACAGACGAGGAGCUUGCUCCUCUGACGUUAGCGGCGGACGGGUGAGUAACACGUGGAUAACCUACCUAUAAGACUGGGAUAACUUCGGGAAACCGGAGCUAAUACCGGAUAAUAUAUUGAACCGCAUGGUUCAAUAGUGAAAGACGGUUUUGCUGUCACAUAUAGAUGGUUACGCGCCGCAUUAGCUAGUUGGUAAGGUAACGGCUUACCAAGGCGACGAUGCGUAGCCGACCUGAGAGGGUGAUCGGCCACACUGGAACUGGGACACGGUCCAGACUCCUACGGGAGGCAGCAGUGGGGAAUCUUCCGCAAUGGGCGAAAGCCUGACGGAGCAACGCCGCGUGAGUGAUGAAGGUCUUCGGAUCGUAAAACUCUGUUAUUAGGGAAGAACAAAUGUGUAAGUAACUAUGCACGUCUUGACGGUACCUAAUCAGAAAGCCACGGCUAACUACGUG